Small nucleolar RNA from Cyclopterus lumpus (lumpfish), 129 nucleotides. Lineage: Eukaryota; Metazoa; Chordata; Actinopteri; Perciformes; Cyclopteridae. The record is from Ensembl.
GUAGAGACUGGAUUCUCACCUCGACAUCACUCAUUGUCUUGGAGAGCUAGAGUCCUCUUAGAGUGAAGACUGCUCCAAUUCACCGACUGGUUCCUUGUAGGCCAGCCGGCCGCUUGGUCAGUUACAACC